This 660-nucleotide ribosomal RNA is filed under the name Triticum aestivum (bread wheat). RNAcentral describes it as "eukaryotic LSU rRNA". The stretch from base 244 to 399 matches the Rfam family "5.8S ribosomal RNA". The record is from RNAcentral. Lineage: Eukaryota; Viridiplantae; Streptophyta; Magnoliopsida; Poales; Poaceae.
CUGCGGAAGGAUCAUUGUCGUGACCCUGACCAAAACAGACCGCGCACGCGUCAUCCAAUCCGUCGGCGACGGCACCGUCCGUCGCUCGGCCAAUGCCUCGACCACCUCCCCUCCUCGGAGCGGGUGGGGGCUCGGGGUAAAAGAACCCACGGCGCCGAAGGCGUCAAGGAACACUGUGCCUAACCCGGGGGCAUGUCUAGCUUGCUAGCCGUCCCUCGUGUUGCAAAGCUAUUUAAUCCACACGACUCUCGGCAACGGAUAUCUCGGCUCUCGCAUCGAUGAAGAACGUAGCGAAAUGCGAUACCUGGUGUGAAUUGCAGAAUCCCGCGAACCAUCGAGUCUUUGAACGCAAGUUGCGCCCGAGGCCACUCGGCCGAGGGCACGCCUGCCUGGGCGUCACGCCGAAACACGCUCCCAACCACCCUCAACGGGAUUCGGGAUGCGGCAUCUGGUCCCUCGUCUCUCAAGGGACGGUGGACCGAAGAUUGGGCUGCCGGCGUACCGCGCCGGACACAGCGCAUGGUGGGCGUCCUCGCUUUAUCAAUGCAGUGCAUCCGGCGCGCAGCCGGCAUUAUGGCCUUUGAACGACCCAACAAACGAAGCGCACGUCGCUUCGACCGCGACCCCAGGUCAGGCGGGACUACCCGCUGAGUUUAAGCA